RNAcentral lists this long non-coding RNA (507 nucleotides) under Cyanistes caeruleus (blue tit). RNAcentral describes it as "lncRNA (ENSCCEG00000000976.1)". Lineage: Eukaryota; Metazoa; Chordata; Aves; Passeriformes; Paridae. The record is from RNAcentral.
AUAACCAUGCUAUACUCACUGGUUAUCAGCUUGUUAAUAGAACAUCUCCUCACAAAAAUCUUACCUGCAAUGGCAGGGAUUUACAGUAAUAAGUUCAGUGGGCAUCUUAGAGAUGUGUGCAAGUUGGUUGUGGUCAUUGUGGCUCAUUGGUUUAUGACUCCACUGAUGCUGACAGAAGUCUAAUUCCCUGAUCAGAGAUGUAAGUGAUGAGAAGCAUGUUCUCUGCAUGCAACUGACAAACAAGUGUGACCACACUCCAUACUGGAUAUUGUGUUUAUGCUCCUCCAGUGCAGUAAUGACAGAGAAACCAUAAGUAAUCAAGACACACUGUGCAUUCCAGGAGAAACUGCCACUUGCUCAUGUCUGGCUUCAUCCUGUAAAGCGGAAAACAGCAGCGAUUGUGUGACUCUAUUCAAGUGCUAUGUGUUGUUCUGCAUCUUUCUUCUCUGCACCCCAAACUAAAAACUUUCAAAUAAAAAUAACUGAAAAACAGAAUAUUGUAUUCCU